UACGGAGGAUGCGAGCGUUAUCCGGAUUUAUUGGGUUUAAAGGGUGCGCAGGCGGAAGAUCAAGUCAGCGGUAAAAUUAAGAGGCUCAACCUCUUCGAGCCGUUGAAACUGGUUUUCUUGAGUGAGCGAGAAGUAUGCGGAAUGCGUGGUGUAGCGGUGAAAUGCUUAGAUAUCACACAGAACACCGAUUGCGAAGGCAGCUUUCCAAGCUAUUACUGACGCUGAGGCACGAAAGCGUGGGGAGCGAACAGG
This 252-nucleotide ribosomal RNA is filed under the name uncultured Bacteroidales bacterium. RNAcentral describes it as "partial 16S ribosomal RNA". It matches the Rfam family "Bacterial small subunit ribosomal RNA", at positions 524 to 776 of the family's 1533-position model. The record is from RNAcentral. Lineage: Bacteria; Pseudomonadati; Bacteroidota; Bacteroidia; Bacteroidales.